GACGAACGCUGGCGGCGUGCUUAACACAUGCAAGUCGAACGGAAAGGCCCCUUUGGGGGUACUCGAGUGGCGAACGGGUGAGUAACACGUGAGUAACCUGCCCUUGACUUCGGGAUAACUUCAGGAAACUGGGGCUAAUACCGGAUAGGAAUCCUUGCUGCAUGGUGGGGGUUGGAAAGCUUCGGCGGUUUUGGAUGGACUCGCGGCUUAUCAGCUUGUUGGUGGGGUAGUGGCUUACCAAGGCUUUGACGGGUAGCCGGCCUGAGAGGGCGACCGGCCAUGUGGGGAGUGAGAGCCGGCCAGGACCCCGGCGGGGGCAGGAGGGGGGGAAGUUUGCAAGAGGGGCGGAGGCCGAAGCCCACACCGCCGGGGGGGGGAUGACGGCCUGGGGGUUGAAACCCGUUUACAGCGGGGGCGAGGUUUGGGGUGAGGUUACCGGAAAAAGAGCCCCCGGCUAACUACGUC
RNAcentral lists this ribosomal RNA (465 nucleotides) under uncultured bacterium. Its description in RNAcentral is "partial 16S ribosomal RNA". It matches the Rfam family "Bacterial small subunit ribosomal RNA", at positions 28 to 507 of the family's 1533-position model. The record is from RNAcentral.